This is a long non-coding RNA of Callorhinus ursinus (northern fur seal), 1209 nucleotides long. RefSeq lists it as uncharacterized. Lineage: Eukaryota; Metazoa; Chordata; Mammalia; Carnivora; Otariidae. The record is from RefSeq and is a predicted model, not a curated record.
CGUGCUCUCCUCUCCAAGUCAGUCCUGCAAAGUGUAGGAAGCAAGUUAACCAGUUGGCAGAGCAGUUUGCUGGGAAUAAUGGAGAACAUCUCUGGUCAUCAGUAAAUUGUCAAGCCAUCAUGAUUUCAAGGGUGUCCAGAGAGCAAAGGAAGCAGUGGUGCUUGGACAGGAGAAACAGCCUUGUCCUCAAAGAUUUUUAAGCAUUGAAUUGGGAAAGCAGUGAAACUCUGGAAGAUGUGCUACAGUGUGUUCAGGUGCUCGGGUGCGUGGUGCAGACCAGGUGCUCGGGUGCGUGGUGCACGCCAGGUGCUCCUUGAGAGUCUGCAGGCAGGCGAGUCCAAAAGCGAUGCCAUCACCGUCCUCCCCAUCCCCUUGCCUGCUCCUUGGUGUCCCUUGUGGAUAAACACCAGGGAUCUGUAUGGAAACAUUCUUUUCUUUAAAAUAAUAUGCAGAUUACAAUUCCCACAUUCUGAGAAGGGAUCAAACCAAAUAAAAACAUGCCCCUGCUUUCCUAUCACUUAAUUGGUAGCACAUAAGAAUGGGUCUUUAAAUAUCUUCCUUUUGAGGACAUCGUCCCCCUAACGUCCUCUGAAAGGGCACGGCCACCACCUGGUCGGCUCCUGUGUUGGAGAACACUGCAGACCAAUCGCGCCAUUGCAGCUCUGAGAGCCAGAAAGUUCACUGCUAGAAUCAGGCAGCGGUUUCGCUGAUUCCGAUGACACCUGAAGAUUUGGGGUGAUUUAGGAUGACACAGCAUCUGUCUCUGUGUCCCCACAUAAUGUCCUUGCCUGUCACAUGCUGAGCUGCUGAAGAAGCAGUAGAGAACAACAUGGGGAGCCCGUUAAAACUGGACUAGAGACGAAAGGUCGGCCACUGUAUGUGCUGAAAUUGCUGAAGUUAUCCAGAACGUAUUUCACUGUGUCCCAAUGUGUUCCUGAACCAUGCGCGUCCAGCACCAGAGGAAGAGGUGCGGGGCGGUGGUCGGGAGUGGUCGCCUGUGGCUCGUGAGCCCAGCUCCUCGCUCAUCGUAAGUUCGUGCCCUCAAGGCUCUGUUUACCUCCUGUUGGGUCCUGCUUGCCCAGGGGGUCCCUCCCGCUGCUGCUCGAGUCGUAGCCCCCAGGCCCCACGCAUAGUGGGGGCUUCGCAAUCAUGGCAAAAAUGGAAUUUCUUCCCAUUCUUUUAAAAAAUAAAAGCACUCUUUUAAUAACA